CAAAUUUUCCCUGGCAGCAUAUGGGUGAAAACGCUGGAGGAGAAAGUCAUUGCUUUGUUAUUGGCCCUUGGACGCCCCUGGCAUCUUGUGUACAGCACAACGUUUUCAGCUAUAAAGAUUUCCAGUGACUCCAGAAUGAAAACCAAGCUCUGAG
Esox lucius (northern pike) is the source of this 154-nucleotide long non-coding RNA. RefSeq lists it as uncharacterized. NCBI's taxonomy places the organism in Eukaryota, Metazoa, Chordata, Actinopteri, Esociformes, Esocidae. The record is from RefSeq and is a predicted model, not a curated record. The transcript is spliced from 3 exons.